RNAcentral lists this ribosomal RNA (484 nucleotides) under uncultured bacterium. RNAcentral's name for it is "partial 16S ribosomal RNA". It matches the Rfam family "Bacterial small subunit ribosomal RNA", at positions 30 to 507 of the family's 1533-position model. The record is from RNAcentral.
AUUGAACGCUGGCGGCAGGCCUAACACAUGCAAGUCGAGCGGAUGAAGGGAGCUUGCUCCUGGAUUCAGCGGCGGACGGGUGAGUAAUGCCUAGGAAUCUGCCUGGUAGUGGGGGAUAACGUCCGGAAACGGGCGCUAAUACCGCAUACGUCCUGAGGGAGAAAGUGGGGGAUCUUCGGACCUCACGCUAUCAGAUGAGCCUAGGUCGGAUUAGCUAGUUGGUGGGGUAAAGGCCUACCAAGGCGACGAUCCGUAACUGGUCUGAGAGGAUGAUCAGUCACACUGGAACGGGGACACGGUCCAGAAUCCUACGGGAGGCAGCAGGGGGGAAUAUUGGACAAUGGGCGAAGGCCUGAUCCAGCCAUGCCGCGUGUGUGAAGAAGGUCUUCGGAUUGUAAAGCACUUUAAGUUGGGAGGAAGGGCAGUAAGUUAAUACCUUGCUGUUUUGACGUUACCAACAGAAUAAGCACCGGCUAACUUCGUG